UGGAUAAGGCAUGCAAGUCAAACGGUGUAGCAAUACACAGUGGCAGACGAGGUAGUAAUAAGUAGGUACCAACCCUAAAGUCAGGGAUACCUCAUCGAAAGAUGAGUUAAUACUUGAUAGCCUCUUCGGAGUAAAGAUUUAUCGCUUUAGGAUGGGCCUGCUCGGUAUCAGCUAGUUGGUGAGGUAAAAGCUCACCAAGGCUAUGACGCCUAGGGGACCUGAGAGGGUGACCCCUACCGAUGGAACUGAGACACGGCCCAUACACCUACGGGUGGCUGCAGUCGAGAAUCUUCCACAAUGGACGAAAGUCUGAUGGAGCGACGCCGCGUGAUCGAUGAAGUGCUUCGGUAUGUAAAGAUC
Molecule: ribosomal RNA, 360 nt
Filed under: uncultured organism
Description: bacterial SSU rRNA
Rfam family: Bacterial small subunit ribosomal RNA
Source: RNAcentral